Molecule: long non-coding RNA, 929 nt
Organism: Scatophagus argus
Lineage: Eukaryota; Metazoa; Chordata; Actinopteri; Scatophagidae
Exons: 6
Source: RefSeq, a predicted model, not a curated record
GCCAGUCUGUGUGAACCUGACACUCCUCCCUUUUCUGUCUCUGCUCAGCUUCAGCAAAAAGCUCCUGCUCCCCACCCCUAAAAAGAUGCAGCUAAUAUUUGGUCUCACAGUAUAACAGAUGUUAUAACCAACCUCUGCACCAGAUCAGUCCUCUUCAUGUCCAUGAGAACCUCCUUCAUCACCUCCACAGACUGUUGACCACACAUGUCCACCAUCACAUCUACCAUAUCGCUUCCACUGUCUACCCUCUGUAGUUGUCUCCAUGAGAUCUGUGGACGGCUCCUCUGGAAGAGACUGAACUGUAGAAACCACUUGAAGCUUUCUUGCUCCUCGUGGCUCAAAUCACUUGACUGGAGACACAAAGCCUGUGGGACUCCUAACAGCUCCUGGUCCCUGACUGACCUCAUCUGAGCAGAUGACCUCAGCUACUACGAGCCACUACUGCCAAAAACUUGAAUGAACCACCUGAUGUAAACAUGAUGAGAUGAUGAAGUAAGUGUAGAAACAGCCUUUUGGCCGUAGGUCUGAACCAUUAAAAACACAAUAUCUUGUCGGUCUGAUGUCUCCCAUGGCAACAUUACUGGGAUGACUGAGUCCCAAUGGCGGAUGUGAAAUUGACAGAGGACAUCUUUGAAAAUCUGAAGCUCCCUGUCACUGAGAUCAGCCAGUGUUUCCAGAAGCAGCUCUGUGACAGACGCCAUCGUUUCCACCUGAUUAAUGUGACAGAUGUUGUCUUUAUCUUACCUUUGGAUCCUGGGCUGACCUCUGACAGCCUCUGCACCAGAUCAGUCCUCUUCAUGUCCAUGAGAACCUCCUUCAUCACCUCCACAGACUGUUGACCACACAUGUCCACCACCACAUCCACCAUAUCGCUUCCACUGUCUACCCCCUGUAGUUCUCUCCAUGAGAUCUGUGGAUGGCUCCUCUGG